Molecule: long non-coding RNA, 648 nt
Organism: Schistocerca cancellata (South American locust)
Lineage: Eukaryota; Metazoa; Arthropoda; Insecta; Orthoptera; Acrididae
Exons: 3
Source: RefSeq, a predicted model, not a curated record
UGUGAAUGCUACUUUUGAGUAUCUGUGAUUCUUAACUGUGAUUUGUCGCAGUUAAGAGUCGCAGUUAAGGAACAUAGGUCGUGUAUCCCUCCGCCACUGCUAUUUCUGCGAUUUCUGCUACUUCCGCGAUUUCUGCUACUUCCGCGAUUCCUGUGACUUCUGCUACUUCUGUGACUUCUGCUACUUCUGCGAUUUCUGCUACUUCUGCGAUUUCUGUGACUUCUACUACUUCUGCGAUUUCUGUGAUUCCUGCGAUUUCUGCGACUUACCACCGUAUGAGAAAGUUACAUCUGUCAACACAGAAAAUUGCAUCUCAACAAACCUGUCUUUGGCAAGUACCUGAACUACAUUUCAGUCACUCAGUAAAGUGAUAACUCAAAAUAUCAUUGUCAACAGAUCUGAAGAAAUUGCCACUGCGUCUUUAGACCGUUUUCGUCAGACGAGAGACACAGUUCUGACUCUGAUUACUGGUUGCUGUACGUAUCUAUCCACAUCAAGGCUGUUUUUGAGAGAGACUCGUGAAGAUUCAAGACAGUUCUUAGAGGAUUUGCAGUUUAAAAGUGAAAUAAUUGUGAAAUAAGUGUGUGAAUGAUUAAACUGUGUUUUAUUGAAGUUGUUGUGCGAUUUUAAAGGAAUAAUAAAUGUCAA